UUGUUUUUUAUUUAUAAUUUUAUAGAUAAUGGACGGAUUGUAGCCGUUGUUCAGUGCAAUUUGUUUAAUGAUAUUAAGUUCUUUGUUGUAAUUUUCUGUUGAGAGUGGUGUGUUAAGAAGUCUAUGUAUAAGAGUGAAAUGCAGCUAUUUUGUGUGUAUAAGGGUGAUUUGAGCUGUUAUGUAUGUUGUGUCCGUGUGUGAAGGUUUAUGGGUUUCCUUCAAAAUGCUGCUCGAUUGCUAUUGACCUCAACAGGAAAUAUGACUUCGUCCAUUUUCAUGUCAGAUAGUGCGGGUCCAUCAUAGAUAAGUGUAGGAGGAAGAGAGGGAUGUGAGCAAGAUGAAAGCUAACGGUUAAAGAAAAGAAAGAAAGACUCUUAACAAUUUUGAAAAUGGCUCAAUCGGGCUAAAAAUUCGCCCGUGUGCGAUGUCAAGCGCAAAAGUUUUACUCACCAGCGGUUCGUUGCUCUUCACCAAUUGGACUAUCUUGAUAGUUUCC
This is a long non-coding RNA of Cylas formicarius (sweet potato weevil), 496 nucleotides long. RefSeq lists it as uncharacterized. The record is from RefSeq and is a predicted model, not a curated record. The transcript has 3 exons. Lineage: Eukaryota; Metazoa; Arthropoda; Insecta; Coleoptera; Brentidae.